This 677-nucleotide ribosomal RNA is filed under the name Salmonella enterica. RNAcentral describes it as "bacterial SSU rRNA". It matches the Rfam family "Bacterial small subunit ribosomal RNA", at positions 1 to 669 of the family's 1533-position model. The record is from RNAcentral. Lineage: Bacteria; Pseudomonadati; Pseudomonadota; Gammaproteobacteria; Enterobacterales; Enterobacteriaceae.
AAAUUGAAGAGUUUGAUCAUGGCUCAGAUUGAACGCUGGCGGCAGGCCUAACACAUGCAAGUCGAACGGUAGCACAGAGAGCUUGCUCUCGGGUGACGAGUGGCGGACGGGUGAGUAAUGUCUGGGAAACUGCCUGGUGGAGGGGGAUAACUACUGGAAACGGUGGCUAAUACCGCAUAAUGUCGCAAGACCAAAGAGGGGGACCUUCGGGCCUCUUGCCAUCAGAUGUGCCCAGAUGGGAUUAGCUUGUUGGUGAGGUAACGGCUCACCAAGGCGACGAUCCCUAGCUGGUCUGAGAGGAUGACCAGCCACACUGGAACUGAGACACGGUCCAGACUCCUACGGGAGGCAGCAGUGGGGAAUAUUGCACAAUGGGCGCAAGCCUGAUGCAGCCAUGCCGCGUGUAUGAAGAAGGCCUUCGGGUUGUAAAGUACUUUCAGCGGGGAGGAAGGUGUUGUGGUUAAUAACCGCAGCAAUUGACGUUACCCGCAGAAGAAGCACCGGCUAACUCCGUGCCAGCAGCCGCGGUAAUACGGAGGGUGCAAGCGUUAAUCGGAAUUACUGGGCGUAAAGCGCACGCAGGCGGUCUGUCAAGUCGGAUGUGAAAUCCCCGGGCUCAACCUGGGAACUGCAUUCGAAACUGGCAGGCUUGAGUCUUGUAGAGGGGGGUAGAAUUC